RNAcentral lists this transfer RNA (90 nucleotides) under Candidatus Cardinium hertigii. It matches the Rfam family "tRNA". From Rfam's summary of the family: Transfer RNA (tRNA) molecules are approximately 80 nucleotides in length. Their secondary structure includes four short double-helical elements and three loops (D, anti-codon, and T loops). Further hydrogen bonds mediate the characteristic L-shaped molecular structure. tRNAs have two regions of fundamental functional importance: the anti-codon, which is responsible for specific mRNA codon recognition, and the 3' end, to which the tRNAs corresponding amino acid is attached (by aminoacyl-tRNA synthetases). tRNAs cope with the degeneracy of the genetic code in two manners: having more than one tRNA (with a specific anti-codon) for a particular amino acid; and 'wobble' base-pairing, i.e. permitting non-standard base-pairing at the 3rd anti-codon position. The record is from Rfam by way of RNAcentral. RNAcentral also lists the same sequence under 1 other name. Lineage: Bacteria; Pseudomonadati; Bacteroidota; Cytophagia; Cytophagales; Amoebophilaceae.
GGAUGGAUGGGUGAGUGGCUUAAACCAGCAGUUUGCUAAACUGCCGUACGGGUUUAUUCUGUACCGGGGGUUCGAAUCCCCCUCCAUCCG